UGGGAUCGCAACCCGGGCAGUCUGGCUCCAAAUCCGCGCUGGUGACCCUUGCGCCGCGCGGUCGGCGCAAGGGAGGAGCAGAGGGGAAAGGCGUGGGGCUGCGCGUUCCGGGAUGAGACUCACCCCACCCCGCCCCCCACCCCCCCAGGUUUUCCAAACAAUAUCCAGGAGAAGAUGCUGGAUUCGUCUUUCGUAAAUGUGCGGUGUUGCUGCUGUUCUCCGGAUCGAGCCAAUUUCACGGCAGGGUGCUCCAAGCAGGCUGCAGCCACGGAGCAGAAAGCCGAGAGAGAGAAAACAGCUGCGAGAGCCUUCCGUGUGCCAUCUGUCCCCAGAUUCACCCCGAGCAUCCCAGGACGUACCCUAGGCUGCUGGGCCCUGCGCCUCCCGAGCGUAACCUCGAGAGUAAAUGGGAAAACCCUUGGGGAGCCCAAUGGGGAGACAUUGCUGGAACCCGCUCUAAGCACCCUGCACCCCAGGCCAUGGCAGAUUGACGCACUGGAACAGUGAGUCAGAGGUCCCCAGGGGCCUGCCGUCCACCCACACCCCCCACACCCCCCCCCCGCAUCAAGAAGGCCCAAAGUUGCCACUUGACUGAGUCACCAGGGCUGAGGGGGUCCUCCUCUUCUGCAAGCAGCAACAGAUUCGUCCUCUCAAAACUCAAAGGCCAAGAGAGUUUCGUUAUUAGUAAUACAUGUUACUCAUUAUCGUCA
Long non-coding RNA from Felis catus (domestic cat), 710 nucleotides. RefSeq lists it as uncharacterized. The record is from RefSeq and is a predicted model, not a curated record. The transcript has 2 exons. NCBI's taxonomy places the organism in Eukaryota, Metazoa, Chordata, Mammalia, Carnivora, Felidae.